Molecule: transfer-messenger RNA, 120 nt
Filed under: Flavobacteriaceae bacterium
Lineage: Bacteria; Pseudomonadati; Bacteroidota; Flavobacteriia; Flavobacteriales; Flavobacteriaceae
Description: partial transfer-messenger RNA
Rfam family: transfer-messenger RNA
About the family: Bacterial tmRNA, also known as 10Sa RNA or SsrA, is named for its dual tRNA and mRNA-like properties.
Source: RNAcentral
GGGGUCGACUGGUUUUGACAGCGAGUUUUAUUGAUUGGUAAGCACGUCGAGUAAUGAAAUUGAAUCUCGUAAAAUGCUAUUUCAAAAUUUAAACGGCGAGAAUAACUACGCUUUAGCUGC